RNAcentral lists this ribosomal RNA (815 nucleotides) under uncultured bacterium. RNAcentral's name for it is "bacterial SSU rRNA". It matches the Rfam family "Bacterial small subunit ribosomal RNA", at positions 636 to 1450 of the family's 1533-position model. The record is from RNAcentral.
UNUGACUUGAGUGCAGAAGGGGAGAGUGGAAUUCCAUGUGUAGCGGUGAAAUGCGUAGAUAUAUGGAGGAACACCAGUGGCGAAAGCGGCUCUCUGGUCUGUCACUGACGCUGAGGCUCGAAAGCGUGGGUAGCGAACAGGAUUAGAUACCCUGGUAGUNCACGCCGUAAACGAUGAGUGCUAGGUGUUAGGCCCUUUCCGGGGCUUAGUGCCGGAGCUAACGCAAUAAGCACUCCGCCUGGGGAGUACGACCGCAAGGUUGAAACUCAAAGGAAUUGACGGGGGCCCGCACAAGCGGUGGAGCAUGUGGUUUAAUUCGAAGCAACGCGAAGAACCUUACCAGGUCUUGACAUCCCGAUGCUAUUCUUAGAGAUAGGAAGUUACUUCGGUACAUCGGAGACAGGUGGUGCAUGGUUGUCGUCAGCUCGUGUCGUGAGAUGUUGGGUUAAGUCCCGCAACGAGCGCAACCCUUAUUGUUAGUUGCCAUCAUUAAGUUGGGCACUCUAGCGAGACUGCCGGUAAUAAACCGGAGGAAGGUGAGGAUGACGUCAAAUCAUCAUGCCCCUUAUGACCUGGGCUACACACGUGCUACAAUGGUCGGUACAACGAGUUGCGAGCCGGUGACGGCAAGCUAAUCUCUGAAAGCCGAUCUCAGUUCGGAUUGGAGGCUGCAACUCGCCUCCAUGAAGUCGGAAUCGCUAGUAAUCGCGGAUCAGCACGCCGCGGUGAAUACGUUCCCGGGCCUUGUACACACCGCCCGUCACACCACGAGAGUUUGUAACACCCGAAGUCGGUGAGGUAACCUUUUAGGGGCC